This 497-nucleotide ribosomal RNA is filed under the name uncultured bacterium. Its description in RNAcentral is "partial 16S ribosomal RNA". It matches the Rfam family "Bacterial small subunit ribosomal RNA", at positions 28 to 507 of the family's 1533-position model. The record is from RNAcentral.
GAUGAACGCUGGCGGCGUGCCUAAUACAUGCAAGUAGAGCGAACAGACGAGGAGCUUGCUCCUUUGAUGUUAGCGGCGGACGGGUGAGUAACACGUAGGUAACCUACCUAUAAGACUGGGAUAACUUCGGGAAACCGGAGCUAAUACCGGAUAAUAUUUCGAACCGCAUGGUUCGAUAGUGAAAGAUGGCUUUGCUAUCACUUAUAGAUGGACCUGCGCCGUAUUAGCUAGUUGGUAAGGUAACGGCUUACCAAGGCAACGAUACGUAGCCGACCUGAGAGGGUGAUCGGCCACACUGGAACUGAGACACGGUCCAGACUCCUACGGGAGGCAGCAGUAGGGAAUCUUCCGCAAUGGGCGAAAGCCUGACGGAGCAACGCCGCGUGAGUGAUGAAGGUCUUCGGAUCGUAAAACUCUGUUAUUAGGGAAGAACAAACGUGUAAGUAACUGUGCACGUCUUGACGGUACCUAAUCAGAAAGCCACGGCUAACUACGUG